GCAAGACCGGAAGGGGCGGGACCGAGAGACCGCGCUGUCGGGGCUGGCCCCUGGGGGCUGAGAGGUGCUGACGGGCCCUUCGGGACGGCGUUGUGGGAAGAAACGCCGUGGGGAAGGCGGAUCUGAGAUAUUCGAGGGGCCCCAGGUUACUCUAAAGCAUCUGGAGCCGACGAGAAGGCGCUGGUUUCCGGGGGGGAAUCCGGGGAGACGAGAGCGAAGGAGGGAAUCGCAGGAACCCGGACAGCUGUGCUGUUUGACCCAGAACAGCCUGCCAAGGAAACCAGAAGGUGAAGAGCAGGGUUCCUGAUCUGACCCAAAGACCUGCAUGUGACCUGGAACAAGCAUUUUUCUAUCUUUCCUCAGUCCCAGAGGCUGGUUCCGGAAAAGACUUCAGCCUCCCAAGAACAUGUUACUGCCAAGUGCAUCUGCAGUGGCCACUGUGAGCCAGACAGUGAGGAGAAAAUGAGGCAGAGCAGGGCAGGGAGGAGCUCUGAAUCCAGGAUUCAUUUCCCUAUCUGGUGAAGGGAGAAGAGGUGGAAGUGAAACCGCUCAACAGGGCUCACCCAACCAGAAAACAUCAGAAGGGGCAUCUCAGUGUCUGGGAAACAAGCUAGAACCAACAUAGCUGAGAAAGCCCCAACCUAUAUGGGGUUCAGGGGUAAGAGGAAGAAAAUAAAAAUGGAGACAUGAUAAUCACCUUCCUUUCAAUGGAGUUGAUAGGAAAUACAUCUUUGAAAUUGAUCAAAUUAAAAAGAUUUUUAAUUUAGAGGAGAGAGAGAAGCAGAGACACAGGCAGAGGGAGAAGCAGGCGCCAUGCAAGGAGCCUGACAUGAGACUCAAUCCCGGGUGUCCAGAAUCAGGCCCUGGGCCGAAGGCGGCGCUAAACCACUUGAGUCACCCGGGCUGCCCUUUUUUUCUGUUUUAUUUCUUCUUGAAAUUUUUAUCUUCUUUAUACGAGAUGUCUCUAAUAUUUUACUACUUAGUAUAAAAUUAAUUCUUUGCUUUAUAAAUUUUUAAAAAAUAAAUAUGUCUUUUUUAUAAAUUUGUGUAGAACUGUAGUAAAAGCCCCUGAUACUUCUUAACAAAAUGAUAGAACUUAAUUGUUAAAAUUAAUUGUAUGUUGUAUUUAUUCAACUGUUUUUGUUUUGAAUUAAACUUGCAAUAUAAUAAUGAA
Canis lupus familiaris (dog) is the source of this 1174-nucleotide long non-coding RNA. RefSeq lists it as uncharacterized. The record is from RefSeq and is a predicted model, not a curated record. The transcript is spliced from 4 exons. Lineage: Eukaryota; Metazoa; Chordata; Mammalia; Carnivora; Canidae.